Telopea speciosissima is the source of this 82-nucleotide small nucleolar RNA. RefSeq annotates it as small nucleolar RNA SNORD96 family. The transcript has a single exon. Lineage: Eukaryota; Viridiplantae; Streptophyta; Magnoliopsida; Proteales; Proteaceae. The record is from RefSeq and is a predicted model, not a curated record.
UGGUCUGUUGAUAUCACUUGUAAAAACCAUCAUUCGGGACUGAAUGGUAUUAACUUGAUGUUAUUCUGCAAUUCUGAGGCCU